This 424-nucleotide ribosomal RNA is filed under the name uncultured bacterium. RNAcentral describes it as "bacterial SSU rRNA". It matches the Rfam family "Bacterial small subunit ribosomal RNA", at positions 355 to 776 of the family's 1533-position model. The record is from RNAcentral.
UGAGGAAUAUUGGUCAAUGGGCGCAGGCCUGAACCAGCCAAGUAGCGUGAAGGAUGACUGCCCUAUGGGUUGUAAACUUCUUUUAUAUGGGAAUAAAGUUUUCCACGUGUGGAAUUUUGUAUGUACCAUAUGAAUAAGGAUCGGCUAACUCCGUGCCAGCAGCCGCGGUAAUACGGAGGAUCCGAGCGUUAUCCGGAUUUAUUGGGUUUAAAGGGAGCGUAGGUGGAUUGUUAAGUCAGUUGUGAAAGUUUGCGGCUCAACCGUAAAAUUGCAGUUGAAACUGGCAGUCUUGAGUACAGUAGAGGUGGGCGGAAUUCGUGGUGUAGCGGUGAAAUGCUUAGAUAUCACGAAGAACUCCGAUUGCGAAGGCAGCUCACUAGACUGCAACUGACACUGAUGCUCGAAAGUGUGGGUAUCAAACAGG